CGCGUAGGUGGCUUGUCAGGUCUGAUGUGAAAACCUGGGGCUCAACUCCAGGCCUGCAUCGGAAACCGGCUUGCUAGAGUCUGGGAGAGGAGAGUGGAAUUCCUGGUGUAGCGGUGAAAUGCGUAGAUAUCAGGAGGAACACCGGUAGCGAAGGCGGCUCUCUGGAACAGUACUGACACUGAGGCGCGAAAGCUAGGGGAGCAAACA
Molecule: ribosomal RNA, 207 nt
Filed under: uncultured bacterium
Lineage: Bacteria
Description: partial 16S ribosomal RNA
Rfam family: Bacterial small subunit ribosomal RNA
Source: RNAcentral